AACACCUGUCAUCAUUAGCUUCUGCUCAAAAAGAACAAAACACACACACACACAAAGCAGAUGAACAAUGGCUUAAUUUAUGACAUAUCACUGUUCAUGGACAACAAAUCAAACUUCUGCACAGAGAAAACAAAACAGUCUUUCCCUAGUGCACACCACCAAGAAAGCAUGGCUGUGAUGUGGAGUGCUCUUGUGGACACAAACCGAGGAUGCACUUAAAUGAACUGCACUGAAGCCAAGAACAGCUGAGCGGCUCAGCCUCACCAAUCAGAACCACCAGACGGGGCCUCUCAUGGGGCCUCUGUUGGUAGCGGGUCACCUCUUCAUAAGUCAGGAACUCGGGAUCUCCAGGAUCAGAGCCCUCUCCGGAGGAUCCUUGCCUGUCCUUACGACUAAGCCGGAAACUCCUUCGCAAACCAGCUGCAGCGAGGCCGGGGAAGGGAUCGGAAGAAGAAGCAGAAAAAGAAGGUCUUGGUGGAGAGUCUGAAGACGCAGAUCUGUUACUUUCACCUGCAGAAAU
Micropterus dolomieu (smallmouth bass) is the source of this 520-nucleotide long non-coding RNA. RefSeq lists it as uncharacterized. The record is from RefSeq and is a predicted model, not a curated record. The transcript is spliced from 4 exons. NCBI's taxonomy places the organism in Eukaryota, Metazoa, Chordata, Actinopteri, Centrarchiformes, Centrarchidae.